GUUUCCUAUAUAUUCGCUCAACUGAAAUAAAAAGGGGAUACAAAGUUGCUGGAUAUGCAUGAGAUGAUUCACUCUCUUGGAAUUUCAGUGUGAUAUUUGGUCUAAGCAAUGGUGGAUGAGAUGAUAGUCAAAGCCAGAAGAUAAUCUGCAGUUUACACCAUAAGCAUAGCACAUGUUAUGAUUGGAAGUUCUGGCUUUGAGUAUCAUCUCAUCAACCAUUGCUUAGAUAAGUUUGAAUUUAUGCGUUGGAAUGUUCACAUUGCUUGACUACAACUAAAGUGCUCCUGAAGGAACCUCAGGAUUCUUGCCCGAAGAUGCUACUCAUACUACUGCGUUUGCUCAUGUUGAGUCUUGAAAAUUUCUCAGUUCUACCGUGCUUUGUGGUUGUUCUGUUUUUCUUUGUUCUAACUUCAGUUUGGAUUCUUAUUCAGAACGAAUCAUUCUUGUGUUGAUGGAAAUAAUUUUUUUUAAUGGUUUGUAGAGAAUUUCCUCUUCUUCUAUAUUUUUAUGUUCUUUUUUAUUUUCUUAAUGAUUGAUGGAGGAGUUUAGAAUACCAAA
Glycine soja is the source of this 558-nucleotide long non-coding RNA. RefSeq lists it as uncharacterized. Lineage: Eukaryota; Viridiplantae; Streptophyta; Magnoliopsida; Fabales; Fabaceae. The record is from RefSeq and is a predicted model, not a curated record. The transcript has 2 exons.